This 630-nucleotide ribosomal RNA is filed under the name Triticum aestivum (bread wheat). Its description in RNAcentral is "partial small subunit ribosomal RNA". Lineage: Eukaryota; Viridiplantae; Streptophyta; Magnoliopsida; Poales; Poaceae. The record is from RNAcentral.
AUGUCAAUUCGGUUUGCAAUUUCAGGAUCAACGUCGAUUGAUACGCUGAACAUUCACCUGUUCUCGUCGCAGUCACUCAGCUUCGUCAACAACAUUCACACGACGCUGAUCAAUGCGCAGAAGGGCAACCAAUCGGUGUCCUCCUUCUUCGCCGCCAUGAGGGGGCCCGCUGAUGAGCUCGCCGCGGCGGGAAAAUCGAUCCAGGACGACGAACUCAUAUCCUACAUCAUCCACGGGCUGGACCAAGAUUACCAGCCCCUCGUCUCUGCUCUGGACGCUCGCAUCACUCCGGUAACACUUGACGAGCUUUUUGCCAUGCUUAGCAAUUUUGAUCAGCGCAUGGCGCAGUACCAUGGCUCCGGUGAUGGCUUCAAGUCCUCGGCGAACUCCGUCUCCAGAGGCCGCAGUAGCGGCUCUCGCUCCCGUGCCUCCUCGCAUGCCAAAGGGAGGUUUGGAUCCGGCGGCGGCGGCUACUCCAACAACACUCGCAGCGGCAGACGCUCCGACAGCUCAAAAGGGCGUCGUGGUUGUCGGCUCCAACAGAUCGCGCCCGGACUUGCCUCGCUGCCAAAUUUGUGGCAAGCCCGGUCACACGGCGAAGGAUUGUUGGUACCGUUACGAAGAGGAUGA